RNAcentral lists this ribosomal RNA (253 nucleotides) under uncultured bacterium. RNAcentral describes it as "partial 16S ribosomal RNA". It matches the Rfam family "Bacterial small subunit ribosomal RNA", at positions 524 to 776 of the family's 1533-position model. The record is from RNAcentral.
UACGGGGGGGGCAAGCGUUGUUCGGAAUUACUGGGCGUAAAGGGUCUGUAGGUGGCUUGCUAAGUCAGACGUGAAAUCCCUCAGCUUAACUGGGGAACUGCGUCUGAGACUGGCGAGCUUGAGGGCAGGAGAGGAACGCGGAAUUCCAGGUGUAGCGGUGAAAUGCGUAGAUAUCUGGAGGAACACCGGUGGCGAAGGCGGCGUUCUGGACUGCAUCUGACACUGAAAGACGAAAGCCAGGGGAGCAAACAGG